This 680-nucleotide ribosomal RNA is filed under the name uncultured rumen bacterium. Its description in RNAcentral is "bacterial SSU rRNA". It matches the Rfam family "Bacterial small subunit ribosomal RNA", at positions 64 to 749 of the family's 1533-position model. The record is from RNAcentral.
GAGCUUUGUUUUUCGGAUUCUUCGGAUGAAGAAGUUCAAAGUGAGUGGCGGACGGGUGAGUAACGCGUGGGGAACCUGCCUCAUUCCGGGGGAUACCAGUUGGAAACGACUGUUAAUACCGCAUAAGCGCACAGGGCCGCAUGGCCGAGUGUGAAAAACUCCGGUGGAAUGAGAUGGACCCGCGUCUGAUUAGCUAGUUGGUGAGGUAACGGCCCACCAAGGCGACGAUCAUUAGCCGGCCUGAGAGGGUGAACGGCCACAUUGGGACUGAGACACGGCCCAGACUCCUACGGGAGGCAGCAGUGGGGAAUAUUGCACAAUGGAGGAAACUCUGAUGCAGCGACGCCGCGUGAGUGAAGAAGUAUCUCGGUAUGUAAAGCUCUAUCAGCAGGGAAGAAGAUGACGGUACCUGCAGAAGCAGCCCCGGCUAACUACGUGCCAGCAGCCGCGGUAAUACGUAGGGGGCAAGCGUUAUCCGGAUUUACUGGGUGUAAAGGGAGCGUAGACGGAAUAGCAAGUCAGAUGUGAAAGGCCGGGGCUCAACCCCGGGAUUGCAUUUGAAACUGCCAUUCUUGAGUACCGGAAGGGCAGACGGAAUUCCUGGUGUAGCGGUGAAAUGCGUAGAGAUCAGGAGGAACACCGGUGGCGAAAGCGGUCUGCUGGACGGUAACUGACGUUGA